AACCAGCACCUCAAGUGGUAACUCUGAUUUUUUUGCCUAAAGCAUCCGUAGCCGGCUCUGUAAGUUUUCGGUUAAAUCUGUACGCUCAACGUACAGGCUGCCGGGAAUACUGCAGAGCUAGGGAGUGGGAGAGGUAGACGGUACUCGGUAGGAAGGGGUAAAAUCCUUUGAUCUAUUGAUGACCACCUGUGGCGAAGGCGGUCUACCAGAACAUGUCCGAUGGUGAGGGAUGAAAGCUGGGGGAGCAAACCGG
This 253-nucleotide ribosomal RNA is filed under the name uncultured archaeon. RNAcentral describes it as "partial 16S ribosomal RNA". It matches the Rfam family "Archaeal small subunit ribosomal RNA", at positions 474 to 727 of the family's 1478-position model. The record is from RNAcentral.